RNAcentral lists this ribosomal RNA (440 nucleotides) under uncultured bacterium. RNAcentral's name for it is "partial 16S ribosomal RNA". It matches the Rfam family "Bacterial small subunit ribosomal RNA", at positions 338 to 795 of the family's 1533-position model. The record is from RNAcentral.
CCUACGGGAGGCUGCAGUGGGGAAUAUUGCACAAUGGGGGAAACCCUGAUGCAGCGACGUCGCGUGAGCGAUGAAGGACUUCGGUAUGUUAAGCUCCUUCAGCAGGGGAGAAAAUGACGGCACCUGUGUAAGUAGCUCCGGCUAACUUCGAGCCAGCAGCCGCGGUAACACGUAGGGGGCCAGCGUUAUACGGAUUUACUGGGUGUAAAGGGAGCGUAGACGGCGGUGCAAGCCAGAAGUGAAAGUCUGUGGCGCAACCUCGGGACUGCGGUUGGAACUGUGUUGCUAGAGUGCGGGAGAGGCAGGCGGAAUUCCUAGUGUAGCGGUGAAAUGCGUAGAUAUUACGAAGAACUCCGAUGGCGAAGGCAGCAUACUGGACCGCUACUGACGUUGAAGCUCGAAGGCGUGGGGAGCGAACAGGAUUAGAUACCCGAGUAGUC